This 1476-nucleotide ribosomal RNA is filed under the name Triticum aestivum (bread wheat). Its description in RNAcentral is "partial small subunit ribosomal RNA". The record is from RNAcentral. Lineage: Eukaryota; Viridiplantae; Streptophyta; Magnoliopsida; Poales; Poaceae.
AUGGCUGGGGAGAAGUCGCCUCGCGCUUUCUCCAUGGAAGAGUUACCGGGCCACCUCAUCGGGGAGGUACUGAGCUCCGGCAGGCUCGCCGCUGGUGACCUCGCCAGGCUUGAGGGUACCUGCCGCGCCCUCCGUCCUCUCGCUGAGCAAGCCGCCUCGCGGUUAUGCGCAGCGCGCAUGGCCUGCUCCGUCAUUGGGCCUGCGGCUCGUGGGGAGCUCCUCGCAAGAUGUGGCGGUAGUUGGAAGAAGGUGCUGAGGUUCCUGCAGUCAGUGGAGCAAUCCUUCGACACCGUACAUACCUCGUCCGGCAACAUGCAAGUAGCGACAGGGAGAUAUCACACGCUCUUAGUCCAUGACUCUUCGGUCUAUUCUUGUGGGUCCAGUUUGUGUGGUGUGCUAGGACAUGGUCCUGAUACUACACAGUGUGUGGCAUUCAGUCGGGUUUCCUUCCCGUCGCUUGCCCGUGUUGUUAAUAUAUCCGCCUUUCACAACCAUGCUGCUUUCGUUACAGAGUCUGGGGAGGUGUUCACCUGUGGAGAUAAUUCAUCAGCUUGCUGCGGUCAUGGGGAUGUGGGACGAACUAUAUUUCGGCCAACCCAAAUACUAGCCCUUAAAGGAAUUUCCUGCAAGCAGGUUGCUACUGGUCUAAGUUUCACUGUGAUACUUACGAGGAAGGGGCUAGUGUAUACAUGUGGAAGUAACACACAUGGCCAGCUUGGUCAUGGUGACACUACAGACAGGGCUGCUCCAAAGAUUGUUGAAUUAUUCAAAGGUCCCAGUCCAGUGGUGCAGGUUGCAGCUGGUGCAAGCUAUACAUUUGCUGUGACUGAUGAUGGGACAGUUUAUUCUUUUGGGUCUUGUACUAACUUCUGUCUUGGACAUGGGGAUCAGCACAAUGAACUUCUUCCACGUGCAAUCCAAUCAUUUAAGAGGAGGAACAUUCUUGUUGUCCGUGUAUCCGCUGGAGAUGAGCAUGCUGUAGCUCUUGAUGCGCUGGGAUAUAAGUCGGAUUUUUCUCUCCAGGUCUAUACAUGGGGUAGAGGCUACUGUGGAGCAUUAGGUCAUGGUGAUGAAAAUGAUAAAACUAGCCCAGAAUUGAUUGCCGGCCUGAAGGGUCAAGUUGGUGUACAGGUAUGUGCAAGAAAGAGAAAGACCUUUGUUCUCACUGAUGAAGGCUCAGUUUUUGCAUUUGGAUGGAUGGGCUUUGGGAGUUUAGGGUUUCCUGACCGCGGAUCAUCUGACAAAGUGAUGCAGCCUCGCGUUCUCGACAGCCUGUCUGGUCAUUAUGUCUCUCAAAUAAGUACUGGACUAUACCAUACUGUUGCAGUGACAAAUAAAGGUAUCGUGUUUGGUUUUGGAGACAAUGAGCGGGCGCAACUUGGGCAGGAAUUCAUUCGUGGGUGUUUGAAACCUACAGAGAUAAUGUUUGACAAAAGUAGUAUUGAGGAUAUAGCCAUUGCAGCGCCUAGUGGGUAA